RNAcentral lists this ribosomal RNA (484 nucleotides) under uncultured bacterium. Its description in RNAcentral is "partial 16S ribosomal RNA". It matches the Rfam family "Bacterial small subunit ribosomal RNA", at positions 30 to 507 of the family's 1533-position model. The record is from RNAcentral.
AUUGAACGCUGGCGGCAGGCCUAACACAUGCAAGUCGAGCGGUUGAAGGGAGCUUGCUCCUGGAUUCAUCGGCGGACGGGUGAGUAAUGCCUAUGAAUCUGCCUGGUAGUGGGGGAUAACGUCCGGAAACGGGCGCUAAUACCGCAUACGUCCUGAGGCAGAAAGUGGGGGAUCUUCGGACCUCACGCGAUCAGAUGAGCCUAGGUCGGAUUAGCUAGUUGGUGGGGUAAAGGCCUACCAAGGCGACGAUCCGUAACUGGCCUGUAAGGAUGAUCAGUCACACUGGAACUGAGCAACGGUAAAGACUCCUAAGGAAGGCAGCAGCCGGGAAUUUUGGACAAUGGGCGAAAGCCUGAUCCAGCAAUGCCGCGUGUGUGAAAGAGGUCUUCGGAUUGUAAAGCACUUUAAGUGGGGAGGAAGGGCAGUAAGUUAAUACCUUGCUGUGUUGGCGGUACCAAAAGAAAACGCCCCGGCUAAAUUCGUG